Molecule: long non-coding RNA, 252 nt
Filed under: Solanum tuberosum (potato)
Lineage: Eukaryota; Viridiplantae; Streptophyta; Magnoliopsida; Solanales; Solanaceae
Description: long non-coding RNA (STUB_LNC000402)
Source: RNAcentral
GUCCAAAUUAAGGAAAUCACGUAUCCGCGUGCCAGCUGCUCUAUCUACACCACUAGUACCUGCAAUUGGACCUUCUUGCCUUUGGCCGUGGCCAGCAACUAUACGAGUCAAUAAUUGGACUGCAUUCCUCAAAUCUUGCUCGGUAGCAUUAAUAGGGGGUUCUUGAGGUGCAGCUUCCCUCCUUAGAUCUUCUGGAGAUGGAGGGGUCGGGGAAGUCUGUGAUAGAGACUCAUCUUGAGCCUCACCUUGAAC